AUGAAGGGUUUGAUCCUGGCUCAGAAUGAACGCUGGCGGCGUGGAUUAGGCAUGCAAGUCGAACGCGAAAGUGGGUCUUCGGAUCCACGAGUAGAGUGGCGAAAGGGUGAGUAAUGCUUGGACGACCUGCCCCAGAGACGGGGAUAACAGUUCGAAAGGACUGCUAAUACCCGAUGGUCCGACCGGAUAAGCCGGAUCGGUAAAUGGUGCUUCCGCUCUGGGAGGGGUCCAAGUCCUAUCAGCUUGUUGGUGAGGUAACGGCUCACCAAGGCAAUGACGGGUAGCCGGACUGAGAGGUUGGCCGGCCACAUGGGAACUGAGACACUGUCCUGACUCCUACGGGAGGCUGCAGUCGAGAAUCUUCCGCAAUGGGCGAAAGCCUGACGGAGCGACGCCGCGUGCAGGAUGAAGGCCCUCGGGUCGUAAACUGCUGUCACAUGUUAAGAAACCUACAGGUUUACCUGUAGCUGACGAAGGCAUGAGAGGAAGUCACGGCUAACUUCGUGCCAGCAGCCGCGGUAAGACGAAGGUGGCUAGCGUUAUUCGGAUUCACUGGGCAUAAAGAGCGCGUAGGCGGCUUGGUCAGUGGGAGGUGAAAGCCCGGAGCUCAACUCCGGAAUUGCCCCC
RNAcentral lists this ribosomal RNA (627 nucleotides) under Astrosyne radiata. RNAcentral's name for it is "partial Bacterial small subunit ribosomal RNA". It matches the Rfam family "Bacterial small subunit ribosomal RNA", at positions 1 to 628 of the family's 1533-position model. The record is from RNAcentral. Lineage: Eukaryota; Bacillariophyta; Fragilariophyceae; Cyclophorales; Cyclophoraceae.